GUGUCUGUUUCCUGUGGGA
Molecule: microRNA, 19 nt
Filed under: Canis lupus familiaris (dog)
Lineage: Eukaryota; Metazoa; Chordata; Mammalia; Carnivora; Canidae
Description: cfa-miR-632
Gene: cfa-miR-632
Source: miRBase by way of RNAcentral